UCAAGGAUUACCCUCAUGUAGGAUUAGCAUUCACUACCUGUGUGUGUGUGUGUGUGUGUGUGUGUGUGUGUGUGUGUGUGUGUGUGUGUGUGUGUGUGUGUUUAUGUGUCUGUGUGUGUUUGUGGGUGUUGAUAUGAUUGUGUGCUUUUGUCGACACACAUGUACUGUAUGUGUGAGUAAGAUAAAAAGAAAAGAGGAAGUUUGACUUUGACUCCUAAGCUGCUUUGUCAAUGCAUUAUUCAUCUCUCUACACAAGCUGCACCUUGGAGCCUUUGAAACUAUCUCAGCUACUCCAAAGACAACUAAAACAAAACCAUAAACAAUCUCAUGUGAUUUUAAUUUCAUAAGAUUUAAUGGCACAAAACAGACAGUGUCGGUGCUGUUGUUAUUGUGGUUUCACCUCAGCCUAACAUCAUGCAACUGGUAAUGUUUAGUUAUUUGUAAACUAAAGCUGAUGUUUUAGAAACUUUAGUUUGGCAAUCACACUGAAUAAUGAAUUAUUGUUUUAGUUCUGUGUUCAUUUUCUUAUAGCAGCAAAGACUUGUAUGUUUUUCAUCAGUGUGAGAGACUGAACUGCAGGUUUUUCCCCCAAAUUCCACCAGAUCAAUGUUUGGUCUGUCUCUGAUCCGCCAUAGCAGCAGAGCUCUUUCACUCUAGUCUAUCUGCCUUGCAGUGCUGUGCCAUACUGCACUCAAAACGCAGCAGCAGGAGAACUGAUUGCCACAGAACUUUGAUGAAGGAUGGCUACCAGAACAGACCCCAUUAACUUUUGGUGUGGAUCUCAAACCAGCAUUGCUAUAACAUUGCGCAGCAGUGCUUUUUCCCAAUAUUUUCCUUAAUUUCUCAGGGAUAAUUGAUGCAUAUUGAUAAAAAAUGAAGGGUUAUGCAGAAAAUGUUUACUUUUUGGCUUUUUUGCUUAUGUUAUUUUACAACAGCAAACAAAAACAAAGCAAGAUAUAAAACUCAGUCUUAAUCAGUAAGUAAUUAUUGCAGCACUACCUGUAGUAACACCUGCUACAAGAAAACCCCCUGUUUAAGGUUUCUUAACAAACAAUCCAAAGUGGCUCUGUUGAAGUAGACAAUCCAUUUAACUGUCAAUAAUGCACAACCUGAUAACUGUAACCAGAGACGUGAGCAUGUUCAGUAACUGAAUAUUCACACAUUUGGCUGUACUGGCUAUAAUCACACUGAUCCUCCUCUCUACCCUC
Molecule: long non-coding RNA, 1208 nt
Organism: Acanthopagrus latus (yellowfin seabream)
Lineage: Eukaryota; Metazoa; Chordata; Actinopteri; Spariformes; Sparidae
Exons: 3
Source: RefSeq, a predicted model, not a curated record